Molecule: ribosomal RNA, 497 nt
Filed under: uncultured bacterium
Lineage: Bacteria
Description: partial 16S ribosomal RNA
Rfam family: Bacterial small subunit ribosomal RNA
Source: RNAcentral
GAUGAACGCUGGCGGCGUGCCUAAUACAUGCAAGUCGAGCGAGCGGACGAGAAGCUUGCUUCUCUGAUGUUAUCGGCGGACGGGAGAGUAACACGUGGAUAACCUAACUAUAAGACUGGGGUGACUUCGGGAAACCGGAGCUAAUACCGGAUAAUAUUUUGAACCGCAUGGUUCAAGAGUGAAAGACGGUCUUGCUGUCACUUAUAGAUGGAUCAGCGUUGCAUUAGCUAGUUGGUAAGGUAACGGCUUACCAAGGCUACGAUGGAUAGCCGACCUCAGAGGGUGAUCCGCCACACGGGAACUGAGACUCGGUCCCGACUCCUGCGGGAGGCAGCAGUACGGAAUCUUCCGCGAGGGGGCAAAGCCUGACGUUGCAACGUCGGGGGAGGGAUGAAGGUCUUCGGAUCGGAAAACUAUGUUAUUAGUGAAGAACUAAUGUGUAUGUACCCGUGCUGAUCUUGACGGUACCUAAUCAGAAAGCUCCGGCUAACUCCGUG